ACGGGUGACGGAGAAUUAGGG
This 21-nucleotide non-coding RNA is filed under the name Arabidopsis thaliana (thale cress). The record is from RNAcentral. RNAcentral also lists the same sequence under 1 other name. Lineage: Eukaryota; Viridiplantae; Streptophyta; Magnoliopsida; Brassicales; Brassicaceae.